AGUGAACGCUGGCGGUAGGCCUAACACAUGCAAGUCGAACGGCAGCACAGUAAGAGCUUGCUCUUACGGGUGGCGAGUGGCGGACGGGUGAGGAAUACAUCGGAAUCUACUUUUUCGUGGGGGAUAACGUAGGGAAACUUACGCUAAUACCGCAUACGACCUACGGGUGAAAGCAGGGGAUCUUCGGGCCUUGCGCGAUUGAAUGAGCCGAUGUCGGAUUAGCUAGUUGGCGGGGUAAAGGCCCACCAAGGCGACGAUCCGUAGCUGGUCUGAGGGGAUGAUCAGCCACACUGGAACUGAGACACGGUCCAGACUCCUACGGGAGGCAGCAGUGGGGAAUAUUGGACAAUGGGCGCAAGCCUGAUCCAGCCAUACCGCGUGGGUGAAGAAGGCCUUCGGGUUGUAAAGCCCUUUUGUUGGGAAAGAAAAGCAGCAGGUUAAUACCCCGCUGUUCUGACGGUACCCAAAGAAUAAGCACCGGCUAACUUCGUG
This 492-nucleotide ribosomal RNA is filed under the name uncultured bacterium. RNAcentral's name for it is "partial 16S ribosomal RNA". It matches the Rfam family "Bacterial small subunit ribosomal RNA", at positions 29 to 507 of the family's 1533-position model. The record is from RNAcentral.